This 451-nucleotide unclassified non-coding RNA is filed under the name Hevea brasiliensis (rubber tree). Lineage: Eukaryota; Viridiplantae; Streptophyta; Magnoliopsida; Malpighiales; Euphorbiaceae. The record is from RNAcentral.
GUACCGGAGAAUUUUAUUACUACCCGAGGUUUCUAUAUGUCUAAUCCUGUGAAGCAUGAACUUGAUGGAGCCUUUGCAGCUCGUCUGGUUAGGUCUCAGUAAAUUGAGAACAAGGAGCAUUUUCCACAAAUUUUUAGUAUGUCGUGAAAAAGCAUCUUUAGGACAGAGAGCUCUUUUCCACAGACAACCAAGUUUUUGCUUUUAUGCCUUCCCUACAGCAUGAGAAUCCAGACCAUCUCUUUUCACAUAUUUCUCAGGUCGUUCAUGCAAAGCCUUAUAUGCAAUCCACUCUUCAAGUUUGAGAGCUCAAAGGCCAUCAUCAUAUGGUACAGCAACCAUACAAGUUAUAAGCAUACCGCAACAAGAUGAAAUAUCAUUUUAUAUGGCAUUCUAGUGUCCAGUUGCUGAAAGAUGGGAUGCAGAGGCAGCAGGCUUCCCCGCUGUAGAAAAG